AUCCUUUUGACGAGUCCCAAAUAGGGUGAAACGCGCAUCAUGGAU
This is a non-coding RNA of Schistosoma margrebowiei, 45 nucleotides long. The record is from Rfam. NCBI's taxonomy places the organism in Eukaryota, Metazoa, Platyhelminthes, Trematoda, Strigeidida, Schistosomatidae.